This 834-nucleotide ribosomal RNA is filed under the name uncultured bacterium. Its description in RNAcentral is "bacterial SSU rRNA". It matches the Rfam family "Bacterial small subunit ribosomal RNA", at positions 61 to 862 of the family's 1533-position model. The record is from RNAcentral.
GUCGAGCGAGCGGAACUACAGGUUCACUUCGGUAAUGACGUUAGGAAAGCGAGCGGCGGAUGGGUGAGUAACACGUGGGGAAUCUGCCCCAUAGUCUGGGAUACCACUUGGAAACAGGUGCUAAUACCGGAUAAGAAAGCAGAUCGCAUGAUCAGCUUUUAAAAGGCGGCGUAAGCCAUCGCUAUGGGAUGGCCCCGCGGUGCAUUAGCUAGUUGGUAAGGUAAAGGCUUACCAAGGCGAUGAUGCAUAGCCGAGUUGAGAGACUGAUCGGCCACAUUGGGACUGAGACACGGCCCAAACUCCUACGGGAGGCAGCAGUAGGGAAUCUUCCACAAUGGACGCAAGUCUGAUGGAGCAACGCCGCGUGAGUGAAGAAGGUUUUCGGAUCGUAAAGCUCUGUUGUUGGUGAAGAAGGAUAGAGGUAGUAACUGGCCUUUAUUUGACGGUAAUCAACCAGAAAGUCACGGCUAACUACGUGCCAGCAGCCGCGGUAAUACGUAGGUGGCAAGCGUUGUCCGGAUUUAUUGGGCGUAAAGCGAGCGCAGGCGGAAGAAUAAGUCUGAUGUGAAAGCCCUCGGCUUAACCGAGGAACUGCAUCGGAAACUGUUUUUCUUGAGUGCAGAAGAGGAGAGUGGAACUCCAUGUGUAGCGGUGGAAUGCGUAGAUAUAUGGAAGAACACCAGUGGCGAAGGCGGCUCUCUGGUCUGCAACUGACGCUGAGGCUCGAAAGCAUGGGUAGCGAACAGGAUUAGAUACCCUGGUAGUCCAUGCCGUANACGAUGAGUGCUAAGUGUUGGGAGGUUUCCGCCUCUCAGUGCUGCAGCUAACGCAUUA